UUUAACUAUUUACACCAUACAUUUUAAAGAAGCCGCUUUAUUCUGUACAUUUUUUAUAUUGCAAAAACUUAAUUUCGAUUAAGGCCAAUGUCUGGUAUUAACAAAUUACAAAAGUGUAUUGCUUAGCACGUUAUCUUUUACAUUAGCAUAACAAUAAGUAAUAAAUAAAUAAAUAAUUUCGUAUUAAUUUAAAUAUUUAUUACCUAAUAUAGGAGACUAAUUUUGCUGAUAGUUGCACUGAAGAACCUUGCGAUAAAUAAUAAAAUUAAAUGCAUGUUUAAAAGUAAGAGAAAAUAUAAAAGCAUAGGUACAUACUUAUUAAACUUUCAAAUGAUACAAAAAAUAUUAUGAGGAGUAUUCUGUUAAUACAUUAGUUAACAUCUCUCAAACGACCCUGUGUUCCAACCUCGUUUACAAUGAUAUUACCUUUUAUUCCUACAAUAUUAGCAUCACUUGUUAUAGUCCUUUUUUCUGUUGUUACGCUGAGAGUAUGGCUGAGAGAGGCAUUCAGAGAAAUAUUAAGUGCAAAAGAGCUGCAUAAUGUUGUAAUACUAAGCAAAUGCUUUUAUUCGUUCUCUUAGUCGAUCGAAAAAUACACAGGCACAAUUUCUACUUGAGCAAAGAUUACUUUUUAUUUGCAAUGGUUGACUUGUGAGCAGUUUCUAUUGAAAGAUCGGAUUUAAAGUCUACCUUCA
Long non-coding RNA from Ostrinia furnacalis (Asian corn borer), 695 nucleotides. RefSeq lists it as uncharacterized. Lineage: Eukaryota; Metazoa; Arthropoda; Insecta; Lepidoptera; Crambidae. The transcript has 2 exons. The record is from RefSeq and is a predicted model, not a curated record.